GGAUUAAUAAGAGGGAGAGCGAUUAUAGCAGAUUGUUUGUGUGAUUGUUUGACUGUUUGUAUUUGUUUUAAUUUGUGUUUGACUAUUUGUAAAAAGAUCUAAACCCAACUCUAGUCUCAAUUUGUGUUUGACUGUUUGUAUUUGUUUUAAUUUUGUAUAGAUAACACAUGCUCCUAGAUUUCCUAUUCUUUCAGAGUUGGCUCGUGAUGUGUUGGCCAUUCCAAUUUCUAGUGCGGUGUCGGAAUGUGUGUUUAGCACCGGUGGUCGUAUUCUUGAUUCAUUUAGGAGUUCAUUGGGGCUCCUAAAUGGGUGCAAGCUCUUAUUUGUGUUCAAGAUUGGUUUAGAGAAGAGAAGAAUCCUAUUAGUGUUGAAGAAGACUUGGAGUAUCUUGAGGAACUCGAGCUUGAUAUGGAAAAUAAUGGAAGCACUACUACCAUUAUUUGAUCACUUUGAUGUAUAGUUGCAACUUGAGUGGUUCAAGUUCAAUCAUGCCCCGUGCUCCAAAAGUACGCUCUCAUGUUUGGGAACACUUCCAGAAAUUCGUAUUCAAGCCUAAGUUGAUUUUGUUGCUACUUGCCUGCUUAUUAGUUAAACUUACAACUUUAUGUUGUGCGGAAUGGCAGUAGCCAGUUGGUUUGCAAACUUUGCAUAAUGUUGUUGUUGUGACUUGUGAGCCUGUAACACUUUAGUUGUUAUUACUUAAAGUGUAAGCUUGAAUUCUGUUUGGCAGGUUUGUCUAUGUGUUUUUGUUGCAUUGUGUUUAAUGUUGCUGCUACUCAUUAGUGGUUGCAUGAUGCAUCUGCGUAAAGUGUAAGUUUGAAUUAAAAUUUCUGCUACUGGGUUGCUGCUCAUAGUUCAGUAUGAUUUUGCAGUCCAUGUUUGGCUUA
Nicotiana tabacum (common tobacco) is the source of this 887-nucleotide non-coding RNA. The record is from RefSeq and is a predicted model, not a curated record. NCBI's taxonomy places the organism in Eukaryota, Viridiplantae, Streptophyta, Magnoliopsida, Solanales, Solanaceae.